GAUGAACGCUGGCGGCGUGCCUAAUACAUGCGAGUCGAGCGAACAGACGAGGAGCUUGCUCCUUUGACGUUAGCGGCGGACGGGUGAGUAACACGUGGGUAACCUACCUAUAAGACUGGGAUAACUUCGGGAAACCGGAGCUAAUACCGGAUAAUAUUUCGAACCGCAUGGUUCGAUAGUGAAAGAUGGCUUUGCUAUCACUUAUAGAUGGACCUGCGCCGUAUUAGCUAGUUGGUGAGGUAACGGCUUACCAAGGCAACGAUACGUAGCCGACCUGAGAGGGUGAUCGGCCACACUGGAACUGAGACACGGUCCAGACUCCUACGGGAGGCAGCAGUAGGGAAUCUUCCGCAAUGGGCGAAAGCCUGACGGAGCAACGCCGCGUGAGUGAUGGAGGUCUUCGGAUCGUAAAACUCUGUUAUUAGGGAAGAACAAACGUGUAAGUAACUGUGCACGUCUUGACGGUACCUAAUCAGAAAGCCACGGCUAACUACGUGCCAGCAGCCGCGGUAAUACGUAGGUGGCAAGCGUUAUCCGGAAUUAUUGGGCGUAAAGCGCGCGUAGGCGGUUUUUUAAGUCUGAUGCGAAAGCCCACGGCUCAACCGUGGAGGGUCAUUGGAAACUGGAAAACUUGAGUGCAGAAGAGGAAAGUGGAAUUCCAUGUGUAGCGGUGAAAUGCGCAGAGAUAUGGAGGAACACCAGUGGCGAAGGCGACUUUCUGGUCUGUAACUGACGCUGAUGUGCGAAAGCGUGGGGAUCAAACAGGAUUAGAUACCCUGGUAGUCCACGCCGUAAACGAUGAGUGCUAAGUGUUAGGGGGUUUCCGCCCCUUAGUGCUGCAGCUAACGCAUUAAGCACUCCGCCUGGGGAGUACGACCGCAAGGUUGAAACUCAAAGGAAUUGACGGGGACCCGCACAAGCGGUGGAGCAUGUGGUUUAAUUCGAAGCAACGCGAAGAACCUUACCAAAUCUUGACAUCCUUUGACCCUUCUAGAGAUAGAAGUUUCCCCUUCGGGGGACAAAGUGACAGGUGGUGCAUGGUUGUCGUCAGCUCGUGUCGCGAGAUGUUGGGUUAAGUCCCGCAACGAGCGCAACCCUUAAGCUUAGUUGCCAUCAUUAAGUUGGGCACUCUAAGUUGACUGCCGGUGACAAACCGGAGGAAGGUGGGGAUGACGUCAAAUCAUCAUGCCCCUUAUGAUUUGGGCUACACACGUGCUACAAUGGACAAUACAAAGGGCAGCGAAACCGCGAGGUCAAGCAAAUCCCAUAAAGUUGUUCUCAGUUCGGAUUGUAGUCUGCAACUCGACUACAUGAAGCUGGAAUCGCUAGUAAUCGUAGAUCAGCAUGCUACGGUGAAUACGUUCCCGGGUCU
This 1372-nucleotide ribosomal RNA is filed under the name uncultured bacterium. RNAcentral describes it as "bacterial SSU rRNA". It matches the Rfam family "Bacterial small subunit ribosomal RNA", at positions 28 to 1381 of the family's 1533-position model. The record is from RNAcentral.